AACCAACAGGGAUUCCCUUAGUAACGGCGAGCGAAAAGGGAGCAGCCCAGUAUGUAAAUCUCCAACCCUUGGUUGGCGAAUUGUAGUCUGGAGUAGCAUUUCCCGGUGACACGUCGGCCCAAGCAUCUUGGAAUAGAUCGCCUGAGAGGGUGAGAGCCCCGUAGGUUGGCCGUGUUGCCUUCACGGAAUGCUCACACAGAGUCGGGUUGUUUGGGAAUGCAGCCCCAAUUGGGUGGUAAACCCCAUCUAAGGCUAAAUACCUGUGGGAGACCGAUAGCAAAAAAGUACCUCGAGGGAACGAUGAAAAGACCGCUGGCAAGCGAGUGAAAGAGUGCAUGAAAUUGUAUAGUGGGAAGGGAUGGCCUGGCGUGUUGCCCGCGGGCAUACUCAGUUCUUUGAGCUGCUGAAUGCACCGUGGGCAGGCUGGUGCCAACACUUGCGCUUGAACAUCCCCAAACUAAGGUGUUUGGCUGCUACUACUUACUACUUCUCGUAGUGAAUGUUAGUUAUAUCAAGCGUGGGUGUUGAGGCGUUGAUCGUUGCUUGGCUUCUCCAACUGGAAGUUGCUUCGACAUAGCACCAGCUGAA
This 588-nucleotide ribosomal RNA is filed under the name Chaetomorpha basiretrorsa. Its description in RNAcentral is "eukaryotic LSU rRNA". It matches the Rfam family "Eukaryotic large subunit ribosomal RNA", at positions 63 to 633 of the family's 3401-position model. The record is from RNAcentral. Lineage: Eukaryota; Viridiplantae; Chlorophyta; Ulvophyceae; Cladophorales; Cladophoraceae.